GUGUACGCAUAUAUAGCAAAUCCUAUAAAACACAUUCGUUUUGCUUCAUGCAGAGCAGCAACGAAGUGAGAUCGAGAGAAAAAGGAAGGUUGGGGUGCUGACCAUUGGUGUCGGCGGAAGAAUUGCAAGCAGAGCCGGGGAGCAGAAUCAGAGGAGCGGCGGCGCGUUGGGUCCCUGGGCGGCGGCGGGGCGCAGGAAGCAAGUACCGACGGCGGUGAUUCCUGGGAGAAGGGGGCGUCAGUUCGGUGGCAG
Molecule: ribosomal RNA, 252 nt
Filed under: Triticum aestivum (bread wheat)
Lineage: Eukaryota; Viridiplantae; Streptophyta; Magnoliopsida; Poales; Poaceae
Description: partial small subunit ribosomal RNA
Source: RNAcentral